AGAUGUUGCGCAACAGACCUGGGAUGGAAACAUGCAAAAAGAUGUCCUACUUUCCUAGAGCCCAGUCAAGACAGUCAUCCCCUCACAACCGGUUUCCAGCUUUCUAGAGCACAUAUGAAUGGGAACCUAGGGGAGCUCUCUUUCUGGUGAAUAUUAUGAAAAUAUGAUGUCAUAGAGGAAAACAAAUUGGACUGUCCUGUUUUCAACCCAGCAAGGUCCAUGUCUGGCUAGCCUCCUGUCAGGUGCAAAGAAUCGGGACUACAUAUAGAAUUAUAGGGCUGGGAGUCAAAACAGCAGACUUUGGCACAAU
Long non-coding RNA from Protobothrops mucrosquamatus (brown spotted pit viper), 310 nucleotides. RefSeq lists it as uncharacterized. The record is from RefSeq and is a predicted model, not a curated record. The transcript is spliced from 3 exons. NCBI's taxonomy places the organism in Eukaryota, Metazoa, Chordata, Lepidosauria, Squamata, Viperidae.